Canis lupus familiaris (dog) is the source of this 983-nucleotide long non-coding RNA. RefSeq lists it as uncharacterized. NCBI's taxonomy places the organism in Eukaryota, Metazoa, Chordata, Mammalia, Carnivora, Canidae. The record is from RefSeq and is a predicted model, not a curated record. The transcript has 5 exons.
UUCACAUCCUCGCCAACAUCUGUUAUGUCUUGUGUUAAUUUUAGCCAUUCUGACAGCCCAGAGUCCAGCUGAUUUAACUUCCCCUUCACACCAACUGAGGAAAGGAGUUUGAUACAUGUGGCUUUUCAUGGAUGACAUCUUUACUCUAGAAAGAGUUGGGACAGAAAGAUAAGCAGGAAGCACAAAGUUCUGAAUUUGAAUAAAGGCAAUGCUUUUGUUGUUACAUCAAAGGAUGCAAGAUUAAAAAGAUAACUUGGAAAAUUCAUACAUGCCUAAAUCUAUCAUUUUAUUGUAUCAUCAGAGACAAAACUGGCUUGAGUGUGACAUAACUCUAAGCUACUUAGUUUAGUUCUGAUAAGUCAUCAUAAUGAAUAAUUUAAGAAUGCCAGAAACUUAAAAUCUCCACAUUGGAAGACAACUUAAGAUUUCAAAUAUGUGCUACUGAGGUGGGACCACCAUUAGAUAAGUGUUUUCUAACAUACUGAGUGACAAAGUAGAAAAUGAAGUAAAAUUGUUCCAAUAUUUCAACCAUUCCCCUUUAAGGAAUAUUCAGGGGGCUUUGCAGCCCUGUCCAUUUUCAAAGAAGCUAAAAACAAUGUAUUAAGUUUCAAGAACUGAAGAUCUCAACUCUGAAUAGCCUAUUCUGAAACUUUUGGUCCUCUAAUUUGGUGCCAGUCCUCCAGAAAUGCAAAUCUGACCGCAAAUCCAAGUAUUUAAGAUUCAAAAAACAUUAUCUUGAAUGAGAACUUUAUAGCAUGGGCUAAUAGAGACACGGAGUGAAACUGACCUUACAGUUAUCAGCUAUGGAAUUCUUUCUAUUUCACCUAAGCCCUGAAAUAAGUGAAAUACUUGAAGAGAAGAGAAAAUGUCACAUACCUUGCUUCGAGUUCCCAGAAGGUAGUAUCAUCAGACAGCCAUGGGUUAGAAGGGUCAGGUGGCACAAGAAAUGGGUCAUAUUCUAAAUAUUGUUCCGUGUAACUUAA